UACGAAGCGGGCUAGCGUUGCUCGGAAUCACUGGGCGUAAAGGGUGCGUAGGCGGGUCUUUAAGUCAGGGGUGAAAUCCUGGAGCUCAACUCCAGAACUGCCUUUGAUACUGAGGAUCUUGAGUUCGGGAGAGGUGAGUGGAACUGCGAGUGUAGAGGUGAAAUUCGUAGAUAUUCGCAAGAACACCAGUGGCGAAGGCGGCUCACUGGCCCGAUACUGACGCUGAGGCACGAAAGCGUGGGGAGCAAACAGG
RNAcentral lists this ribosomal RNA (253 nucleotides) under uncultured bacterium. RNAcentral's name for it is "partial 16S ribosomal RNA". It matches the Rfam family "Bacterial small subunit ribosomal RNA", at positions 524 to 776 of the family's 1533-position model. The record is from RNAcentral.